GGGUCCUUAGCUCAGCUGGUAGAGCGCGUCGUUCGCAAUGACGAGGUCAGGAGUUCGACUCUCCUAGGAUCCACCA
RNAcentral lists this transfer RNA (76 nucleotides) under Arenimonas sp. RNAcentral describes it as "tRNA-Ala". It matches the Rfam family "tRNA". Rfam says of the family: Transfer RNA (tRNA) molecules are approximately 80 nucleotides in length. Their secondary structure includes four short double-helical elements and three loops (D, anti-codon, and T loops). The record is from RNAcentral. Lineage: Bacteria; Pseudomonadati; Pseudomonadota; Gammaproteobacteria; Lysobacterales; Lysobacteraceae.